AACUAACGCUGGCGGCGCGUCUUAAACAUGCAAGUCGGACGGUAUCCUUUGAGCUUGCUUAGGGGAGAGAGUGGCGAACGGGUGAGUAACACGUGAAUAAUCUGCCUUCAGGACGGGGAUAACCUCGGGAAACCGAAGCUAAUACCGGAUAAGAUGUCAUCUGCGCAAGCAGGAGUCAUUAAAGAUGGGGACCGCAAGGCCUAUCGCCUGGAGAUGAGUUCGCGGCUGAUUAGCUGGUUGGUGGGGUAAAGGCCUACCAAGGCGACGAUCAGUAGCCGGCCUGAGAGGGUGAACGGCCACAUUGGGACUGAGAUACGGCCCAGACUCCUACGGGAGGCAGCAGUUAAGAAUCUUGCGCAAUGGGGGCAACCCUGACGCAGCGACGCCGCGUGGAUGAUGAAGGCCUUCGGGUUGUAAAGUCUAAUAAGCAGGGAAGAAUAAGCAUCGGGUAAUAUUCGGUGUGAUGACGGUACCUGCCUAAAGCCCCGGCUAACUACGUGCCAGCAGCCGCGGUAAUACGUAUGGGGCGAGCGUUGUUCGGAAUUAUUGGGUGUAAAGGGCGUCUAGGCGGGAAAUUAAGUUAGAUGUGAAAGGCGUGGGCUCAACCCGCGAACUGCAUCUAAAACUGGUUUUCUUGAGUUCGGGAGAGGAGAGCGGAAUUCCUGGUGUAGCGGUGAAAUGCGUAGAUAUCAGGAAGAACACCAGUGGCGAAAGCGGCUCUCUGGCCUGGAAACUGACGCUGAAGCGCGAAAGCGUGGGGAGCGAACGG
Molecule: ribosomal RNA, 769 nt
Filed under: uncultured bacterium
Lineage: Bacteria
Description: bacterial SSU rRNA
Rfam family: Bacterial small subunit ribosomal RNA
Source: RNAcentral